Long non-coding RNA from Bos taurus (domestic cattle), 3047 nucleotides. NCBI's taxonomy places the organism in Eukaryota, Metazoa, Chordata, Mammalia, Artiodactyla, Bovidae. The record is from Ensembl.
GAACACUGGGAGGAGAGGGAGGCAGUGCAUACCCUUCAUCCCAGCCUUCCAGAAAGACGCAGGCGCUCAUCUGCAAAGCCAGCUGCGGCUGAAUAGGAUGUGUUUCCAUCCUCCAGUGUUUCCUGUCUUUCUAGUGACUUCCUAUCUCUCGUUGAUUGACAAAUCGUUUUAAGAUGCUGGAGACUGAUGAAAAACAAAACCAAAUCCUGCUGUGAUCCUUUCACAGCUGGGCCCUUUCUGUUCCAUAUCUGAGUGGCAGGCAGGACUUAGUGUGAUCAAAAAGGAGAAGGCUGAAGGAACAUCGCUCUGAAGAGAGGAAGGCAAAGCCAGGGGCUCUGUCUCCAGGCCUAGAGCUCUGAGUCGCCCUGGCACAGGCGUGGGAAAGCUAGACCCGCAGAGAGGAAUGGGCAGAGCCCCCAAACCCAGACUUUUUGCUGGAAGCAUCUCUGUGGACCUGAACUGCCUGCCGUGCUUCUGGAAGACUACUGUAUCUGCAUGCAGCGUCCCAAAGUCACCUGACAGGGCUUCAUCUCAGUCCUUCUUUUUUGGGGCCUCCAACUAAAUUGAAUAGGCCCUUCUCUCUUUCUGCAUCUUUUUUUCCUUACCCUUGAAGCAAAAUUCAAUUUCUCAGAGAGUUGCCUUCAUUAUUCGCUAAGCUGAGAUAAUCCCUGGAAAACACGUGAAGUACGCGGAGUACACAGCUCCCUGCCUUUCAGUGCCUCUCAAGCAACCUCAGAAACUCCCAUCUCACCUCCACUUCUAAUGCUGCCUCCUCCUGCUCCUGGCUUUUCUCCUGCCAUACGUCCUAGCCUAGGAGGCAGGUCUGUGGCAAACUGUGAUUUUAAGCAGUUGACUUCAUCUCCUUGGACCUUAGUUUUAAAGAAUGACAAUAUCAGAUCACUGAAUGAUCUAUGCCUCCUGUCAGUUCCCUCUCUCAUCUUAGACCUAGCCUUCCAGGUCCCACUCCUGCAGGAUCAAUAUGCUGUCCUUCCAGACAUUUUCUUUGAAUUCUUCCCAAGUGUCUUCUAGAGGCGGGGCCACACCUCCAGAGUAUAACUCUCCUGGGGGGAACAGCACACCCUGGAUUGGGGGUGAGUGAUGCUCUGGAGCCUGAUUUUGUGGUGGCCACCACUCACUGCAAAAAAGCUGGUGCUGCUAGGUCACUUCAGUCAUGUCCGACUCUGUGCGACCCCAUAGAUGUCAGGCCACCAGGCUCCCCCGCCCCUGGGAUUCUCCAGGCAAGAACACUGGAGUGGGUUGCCAUUUCCUUCUCCAACACGUGAAAGUGAAAAGUGAAAGUGAAGUCACUCAGUCCUGUCUGACUCUUAGCGAUCCCACAGCCUACCAGACUCCUCCAUCCAAGGGAUUUUCCAGGCAAGAGUGCUGGAGUGGGGUGCCAUUGUCUUCUCCAGCCACCCAGAACUUGCUUGUCUCAGUGGUACUCCCCUGGUCCAGACACUCUGCUUGUACAAAUUCAUGUGUAAGUAGGAAUUUCCCCUCUGUUUAGGUCAUGGGUGAGGUGAAGUGGACUUUGAGCCUAUUGCACUGUAAACACAAACUAACUGUAAAUUUCAUGGUGGUGUCUCACAUACAGAGGUGUUCAUCAAAACCUGUGUAGGGCACUCCAUCUGACCCUGCUGACCUAAAAAGUGUCUGAUGUUUUUUCUUUGCUUAAGCAGGGAGUUACUUUUUUUGGAAAAGAGAAAGUCUGGCCCCUUUCUCCUCUAGUGCCCUGAGUGGGUUGUCACAGGUUCUAGAUUGGAUUCGAAAAAGAAGUGCGUGCUCUUUGGGUUAAAGAUGAAAGCUAUUCAGGUGAACUGAAGGCAGUUAGAAAGCAGGCAAAUGCAAACACAGUCUCAUAAUCUCACAUCUGCAAAUGACUGGAAAUCUACCCACAAAGUAGGAUGUGACAGCCUGGCUGAGUAAUCAAAGCAGGAGUCUGCUCAGUGAGGAAAAUCUUAAACAAACAAACAAACACCCCCCUACCCUCAAACCCCAUAACAAACAAAAACCAAAAUAAACCUAGAAAACCCAAACAACAACAGUAACCACAAGACUGGAUGACUGCUAAGGCUCUCAGGACUCCCCAGAAUUACCGCUGAGCAAGCUCAUUAAGGCCUAAGUGGUCGUUUUCCACCUGCCUGUAGCUGUUGGAGGCACUCGGGUGGCUUGUUGGGAUAAGGAUGUUCUGUCCUUGCUGUUUUACCAGCCGCUAAUUAAUCCCUGUGACCCAGCGCGGGGAGGAGGGUCAGGCACAGGAACCUCUCCUGAAGACUCAGCCGAGACGUUAACCAGAGUCCCAGCUCCCCCUCAAGAAUGGCCUGGAGGAGCUGAGGUGGGACACCGCUGUCUCGGGCCACUCAUCACCCUUGCUGAGCUGGUGAUCACUGAGUCUCCUCAGAGAGCCCUGCCCAGGAUCCCGACAAGCAGGGAGGAGCAAAGCCACACUGUGGACAAGCACUUAAGCACUCUGGACUUGUUUUUCUCAUCGGCAACGUGAGAACCUUGCCAACUCUACCACCCAGGAGGUAUCAGAACUGCUAAGCUGAGGUCCAGAACAUAAAGGAUCAGGUGAGGGAGUUGUCACUCUAACAGCCAGCACUUAUCAAGCUCUUAUUACACACCGUGCUAUGCUUGGUGGGUUAUGGACCUCCUUUUGCUUAAGCCUUAUAGUUGUCUUGCAAAGAAGAGUCAUGCAAACCCCUAUUACAGAAGAGAAAAAUGAGGAAUGAUCAAAAAAAGAGUUCAGACUUGUCAAGACUUACACAAAGAGAUCAUGGAGCUGGUAAGCAGCAGGAUUUGAAUGCCAAUCUCUUUCCUAGUGCUUUUUUCCUUUGCACGGUACCUCUGAGUGGAUAGAAGCUGGUCCCCUAAAAAAUUGUUGCCAAAUACAAAGAAGGUACACUUUAUGGAGGACCAGUCAAGCCUUCAGAGGACUGCAGCACCGGAAGAUAGUGUAACUGUCACAUCAUGAGAGACCCUGAGUUAGAAUUACCCAGCAAAGCUGUUCCUAGAUUCCUGUGUGAGAUAAUAAAUGAUCAUUGUUG